Saccostrea cuccullata (small rock oyster) is the source of this 392-nucleotide long non-coding RNA. RefSeq lists it as uncharacterized. The record is from RefSeq and is a predicted model, not a curated record. NCBI's taxonomy places the organism in Eukaryota, Metazoa, Mollusca, Bivalvia, Ostreida, Ostreidae. The transcript is spliced from 3 exons.
AGAAAGAGAAAGCGUGAGAAGGAGAGCGAUAGCGAUUCAGAAGAAUCAAGUUCAGAUGACAGCAGUAGUUCAAAUGAUUCCGAGUCAGAUUCAGAUUCAGAUAUGUUCAGUCCUUCACAGGUUUUGAAGAUGAAGGGAGAAAUGGUGCAGGUCGACCCCAGCAGUUUUUUCGGACAGGGCCCUCAAACAACAGAUACCAGUUUGGGGGCCACAAUUACAGAGGACAACAGAGCCAGAGAGGCAGAGGUUCAGCAAAGUUUCCUCUUUCCAGAAAGACAGAAAAUCAGUAGAAAUGAAGAGUGAAGAGACCCUAUGAGUCAGAGAGCUGCACAGAAAUGUCCUGGAAAAAAUGUUAUACCAGUAUUGAAAUUAUUAAAGGAUUGAAAUAAUAA